GAUGAAGAACGUAGUGAAAUGCGAUAAGUAAUGUGAAUUGCAGAAUUCAGUGAAUCAUCGAAUCUUUGAACGCACCUUGCACCCUUUGGCAUUCCGAAGGGUAUGCUCGUUUGAGUGUCAUUGUACUCUCACUCUCCCGAUGCUUUUGGAUCGGGAGUGGUGGACUUGGGUGUUGCUGCUUUGCUGUGGCUCGCCUCAAAUGGAGUAGUGCAACUCUUGGUUGGACAUAGUACGGCGUGAUAAGUGUCUUCGCCGGCGCCUCAUUACAGAGGGUGGCCGAUCGGGAGCUCUGUGCUUCAAACCGUCUUCGGACAACAUCUGACAACUUGACCUCAAAUCGAGUAGGACUACCCGCUGAACUUAAGCAUAUCAAUAAGCGGAGGA
This 384-nucleotide unclassified non-coding RNA is filed under the name soil metagenome. Its description in RNAcentral is "partial contains 5.8S ribosomal RNA, internal transcribed spacer 2, and large subunit ribosomal RNA". The stretch from base 1 to 120 matches the Rfam family "5.8S ribosomal RNA", at positions 35 to 154 of the family's 154-position model. The record is from RNAcentral.